This 341-nucleotide long non-coding RNA is filed under the name Elaeis guineensis (African oil palm). Its description in RNAcentral is "long non-coding RNA (EGUI_LNC076568)". Lineage: Eukaryota; Viridiplantae; Streptophyta; Magnoliopsida; Arecales; Arecaceae. The record is from RNAcentral.
UAUUAAACAAUAAAUCAGAUCUAUUACAUUGCAAGUUAGACAUUCUAACCUUGUUGAUCUGGGCUUAAGGAUGAUGUUGCAAGCUGCACAUGCGUCCGGCCUCUAGGAGUCAUCCACACGAGCCCACGAAUCUCGAUCAGAAGUCCUGCUUCAGGAAAUCAGCACAGUAUGCUAGUACUGCGCUGAUCCUUCUUUGAUGGUUGAUCAGGUACCUCCUUCUUCUUGAUUUAGACUCUUCCAAAGAUGGAAAGUAAAAGGAGGAGUUUUAGAUCUGAGAUGCUCUCAGGAAACUCAUGAUGGAGGGAGGAAAGAUAUGAAAACAAAAAACCCUAGAAGAAGAC